CACUGAAACAAGCAAGAGCAAGGGUUAGAAAACAAAAUCAAAUUAUUGGCAGGCUCCUGAAAAUUUUUAAAACUAUUGGAGGAAUUAUAUAAACUUGAGAAGGCCGUUAGAAGCAAGUCUUUCUGUAGUACACUGUUGCUAACCUGAUACAUCAACAAGGCAAGUGAUACAAUUAAAAUUCCAUAUUCUAAGGAGAUAGAAUCUGACUGGCCUCACUUGGAUCAGGUGUCCUCCCUCAAUCUGUCAGAUUUGGCAAUUCUAGUGACAUAGUGACCUGUCACAAGCACUGGUGGCCUGGAUCUGCAGAGGCCCCAGUGUCCACAACAAGCUUAAAGAUUUCAAAGGAAUUGGUGCUCUAUCAGAAAAGGUUGCACAAACAGAAGACUUGCAACAAAUCUACUUGGAAAGAACUGAGAUCUUAACAACAGUGAAGAUGAACUUCUAUCUGAUGAACAAGGUCUGUCAGUCUUCAGCUGAAGACUCAAAGAAGACUGUCUACAGACUUUCCUAAAACAAUAAUGUGUCUGCGUCAUGUCCAGAGCAUGCUGUUGACUUAAUAAACUGGAGGGGGAUUUUCACAAAACCAUAACGAAAGAUGGAAUGAAGAGAAGGACUGCUGCAGGAAUAAAGAUUUACCAUUUCCUCAAAGUGAAAGUUAAACUGAAAUUAAAGC
Molecule: long non-coding RNA, 673 nt
Filed under: Callithrix jacchus (white-tufted-ear marmoset)
Lineage: Eukaryota; Metazoa; Chordata; Mammalia; Primates; Cebidae
Description: lncRNA (ENSCJAG00000071751.1)
Source: RNAcentral